This 72-nucleotide transfer RNA is filed under the name Bos taurus (domestic cattle). It matches the Rfam family "tRNA". From Rfam's summary of the family: Transfer RNA (tRNA) molecules are approximately 80 nucleotides in length. Their secondary structure includes four short double-helical elements and three loops (D, anti-codon, and T loops). Further hydrogen bonds mediate the characteristic L-shaped molecular structure. tRNAs have two regions of fundamental functional importance: the anti-codon, which is responsible for specific mRNA codon recognition, and the 3' end, to which the tRNAs corresponding amino acid is attached (by aminoacyl-tRNA synthetases). tRNAs cope with the degeneracy of the genetic code in two manners: having more than one tRNA (with a specific anti-codon) for a particular amino acid; and 'wobble' base-pairing, i.e. permitting non-standard base-pairing at the 3rd anti-codon position. Lineage: Eukaryota; Metazoa; Chordata; Mammalia; Artiodactyla; Bovidae. The record is from Rfam by way of RNAcentral.
UCCCUGGUGGCUCAGAGGUUAAAGCGUCUGCCUCCAACGCUGGAGACCCGUGUUCAAUCCCUGGUUUGGGAA